This 460-nucleotide ribosomal RNA is filed under the name uncultured bacterium. RNAcentral's name for it is "partial 16S ribosomal RNA". It matches the Rfam family "Bacterial small subunit ribosomal RNA", at positions 338 to 795 of the family's 1533-position model. The record is from RNAcentral.
CCUACGGGUGGCAGCAGUGAGGAAUAUUGGUCAAUGGGCGCGAGCCUGAACCAGCCAAGUAGCGUGAAGGAUGACUGCCCUACGGGUUGUAAACUUCUUUUAUAAAGGAAUAAAGUGAGGCACGUGUGCCUUUUUGUAUGUACUUUAUGAAUAAGGAUCGGCUAACUCCGUGCCAGCAGCCGCGGGAAUACGGGGGGUCCGAGCGUUAUCCGGAUUUAUUGGGUUGAAAGGGAGCGUAGAUGGGUUGUUAAGUCAGUUGUGAAAGUUUGCGGCUCAACCGUAAAAUUGCAAUUGAUACUGGAAGUCUUGAGUACAGUUGAGGUAGGCGGAAUUCGUGGUGUAGCGGUGAAAUGCGUAGAUAUCACGAAGAACUCCGAUUGCGAAGGCAGCUUACUAAACUGCCACUGACAUUGAUGCUCGAAAGUGUGGGUAUCAAACAGGAUUAGAUACCCGUGUAGUC